RNAcentral lists this ribosomal RNA (458 nucleotides) under uncultured bacterium. RNAcentral's name for it is "bacterial SSU rRNA". It matches the Rfam family "Bacterial small subunit ribosomal RNA", at positions 28 to 507 of the family's 1533-position model. The record is from RNAcentral.
GAUGAACGCUGGCGGUAUGCCUAACACAUGCAAGUCGUACGAGAGUUUUUUAACUCUAGUGGCGGACGGGUGAGUAACACGUGAGAAUUUGCCUUUAGGAGGGGGAUAACAAUUGGAAACGAAUGCUAAUACCCCAUAUGCUUUUGAGUGAAAUGGAUUUUAUCCGCCUAGAGAGAAGCUCGCGGCUGAUUAGCUUGUUGGUAAGGUAAGAGCUUACCAAGGCGACGAUCAGUAUCUGGUUUGAGAGGGUGGUCCCCCACACUGGUACUGAGACACGGACCAGACUCCUACGGGAGGCAGCAGUGAGGAAUAUUGGACAAUGGGCGCAAGCCUGAUCCAGCCAUGCCGCGUGCAGGAUGACGGUCCUAUGGAUUGUAAACUGCUUUUGUACAGGAAGAAACACUCCCUCGUGAGGGAGCUUGACGGUACUGUAAGAAUAAGGAUCGGCUAACUCCGUG